Suncus etruscus (white-toothed pygmy shrew) is the source of this 107-nucleotide small nuclear RNA. The record is from RefSeq and is a predicted model, not a curated record. NCBI's taxonomy places the organism in Eukaryota, Metazoa, Chordata, Mammalia, Eulipotyphla, Soricidae.
GUGCUCUCGUUCAGCAGCACAUAUAAUAAAAAUUGAACAAUACAGAGAAGAUUAGCAUGGCCCUGCACAAGGAUGACAUGUUAAUUCGUGAAGCGUUCCAUAUUUAA